This 216-nucleotide ribosomal RNA is filed under the name Glomeromycotina sp. RNAcentral's name for it is "partial small subunit ribosomal RNA". The stretch from base 40 to 216 matches the Rfam family "Eukaryotic small subunit ribosomal RNA", at positions 686 to 864 of the family's 1831-position model. Lineage: Eukaryota; Fungi; Glomeromycota. The record is from RNAcentral.
GGGUCAGUAGGUUGGUCGUGCCACCGGUACGUACUGGUCUCACUGAUUCCUCCUUCCUGGAGGACCGUAAUGCCAUUAAUUUGGUGUUGCGGGGAAACAGGACUGUUACUUUGAAAAAAUUAGAGUGUUUAAAGCAAGCUAACGCUUGAAUACAUUAGCAUGGAAUAAUGAAAUAGGACGAUCGAUCCUAUUUUGUUGGUUUCUAGGAUUGACGUA